Molecule: ribosomal RNA, 644 nt
Filed under: Akkermansiaceae bacterium
Lineage: Bacteria; Pseudomonadati; Verrucomicrobiota; Verrucomicrobiia; Verrucomicrobiales; Akkermansiaceae
Description: bacterial SSU rRNA
Rfam family: Bacterial small subunit ribosomal RNA
Source: RNAcentral
ACUAAAACUCAAAGAAAUUGACGGGGACCCGCACAAGCGGUGGAGUAUGUGGCUUAAUUCGAUGCAACGCGAAGAACCUUACCUAGGCUUGACAUGCUUGUCGUAUUCUCCCGAAAAGGAGAAGUCGCUUCGGGCGGACAAUGCACAGGUGCUGCAUGGCCGUCGUCAGCUCGUGUCGUGAGAUGUUUGGUUAAGUCCAGCAACGAGCGCAACCCCUGUGAACUGUUGCCAGCGGAUAAUGCCGGGGACUCUGUUCAGACUGCCCAGAUCAACUGGGAGGAAGGUGGGGACGACGUCAGGUCAGUAUGGCCCUUACGCCUAGGGCUGCACACGUACUACAAUGCCCAGCACAAUGAGAACCAAUACCGCGAGGUGGAGGAAAUCUGUAAAACUGGGCCCAGUUCGGAUUGGAGGCUGCAACUCGCCUCCAUGAAGUUGGAAUCGCUAGUAAUGCCGUAUCAGCUACGACGGCGUGAAUACGUUCCCGGGUCUUGUACACACCGCCCGUCACAUCAUGGAAGUCGGUCGCACCCGAAGUAUAUGCGCUAACUUUCGAGAAGCAGUAUCCUAAGGUGAGGCUGGUAACUGGGAUGAAGUCGUAACAAGGUAGCCGUAGGGGAACCUGCGGCUGGAUCACCUCCUUU